This 2466-nucleotide long non-coding RNA is filed under the name Homo sapiens (human). The record is from RNAcentral. Lineage: Eukaryota; Metazoa; Chordata; Mammalia; Primates; Hominidae.
UGCGCGGCGCCGCGGGGCCUUAGCGGACGGAGGGGAGCGCGGGGGUCACCGGGCCGGGCCGGCAGCCCUAGAGCUCGGCCUGGCGGGGACCCUGGGCCAGCCCCGCGCCUCCGUGGCCCGGGCGUCUCGUGCGUGUCCGCGAACUCGCGUGCGCGCGUCACCUCGGACCGCAGCAUGGCUCGGAGGGCGGCCCUACUCGCGCCGCCCUAGUGCUGCGAAGGGCCUCGGAGCCCAAACCCGGAACCGCCAUCUGGGACUGGGAAGACGACAUGGCCAGAAGCCGACUGGACAGCCGGCACCACCCCAUGAUUCAAGGAUGGCCAUAGCCCAGUGCAGGAGCAGAUUUGCUUCCAGUUUGCCCUUCCUCCUAGCUGAACUCCAGGCUCCAGCCCAGAGAAGCAAGAAAAGAGCAAACAGAAGUUAUUCACAUGUGCAUCAGGUGGAGUCUCGCUCUGUCACCCAGGCUGGAGUGCAAUGGCACGGUCUCAGCUCACUGCAACCUCUGCCUCCCAGAUUCAAGCAAUUCUGCCUCAACCUCCUGAGUAGCUGGGACUACAGGCACGUGUCACCACGCCCAGCUAUUUUUUUUUUUUUUUUUUUUUUUUUGAGACAGAGUCUCCCUCUGUCGCCCAGGCUGGAGUGCAAUGGCGCAAUCUCAGCUCACUGCAAGCUCCGCCUCCCCGGUUCCCGCCAUUCUCUUGCCUCAGCCUCCCGAGUAGCUGGCACUACAGGCGCCUGCCACCCAUGACCGGGUAAUUUUUUUUGUAUUUUUUAGUAGAGACGGGGUUUCACUGUGUUAGCCAGGAUGGUCUCGAUCUCCUGACCUCAUGAUCCGCCCGCCUCGGCCUCCCAAAGUGCUGGGAUUACAGGCGUGAGCCACCAUGCCCGGCCUUAAUAACUUUUUAAAGGAUGUCAAGUUAAUGGAAUGUAUUCUGCUUUAGAAAAUAAAACUCUUAGGUUUUCAAAACUUAGCAGCCCCAGCAUUACCAAGGGCCUGCCUACCGUUUACAGUAUGUGAAUCCUACUUCCUUUUCAUGGUUGUAAGACUGGGAUUUUCUGGGAGCCGACCUGCAGGAGUCCACAGGCCACCCGUUAGGACUGUGCACGCUCCUCCACAAACAUGCCUGUGGGGGGAUCCUUGGCUCUCUCUGCAGGGGUGCGUUGGGUGUGCACCAGCUGGGAAGGAAGGAUCUGUCGGAACUGCAAUCAAAGCCACGGCAGGCCUCCCAGGGUCUUACUGGUGGUGAAAACAACCAGCUUCCUCGUCCCUCCCUCAAGCAUGGCAACCACCGCCCUGAGACUCAAAGAUACCUGGAGGAGUGUGAUCGGGCUGACCUGUUGCUCUUAUCUGGAAUUCUUUGAGGGUGAUGGGAGAUCACUUCUUUUUUUUUUUUUUUUUUUUUUUUGAGACAGGAUCUUGUUUUGUCAACCAGGCUGGAGUGCAGGUUCAGGUGAUUCUUCCGCCUCAGCCUCCCCAAGUAGGCUGAGUAGCUGAGAAAACAGAUGCGCACCACCAUGCCUGGUUAAUUUUUGGAUGUUUUGCAGCCAUGUGGUUUCACCAUGUUGUCCAGUCUGGUCUUGAACUCCUGAGCUCAAGGGAUCCUCCCACCUCGGCCUCCCAAAGCAUUGAGAUUACAGGUAUGAGCCACUGUACCCGGCUACCCAGGAGAUUACUAUUUUUUGGCAUAAAACCAAACAAAACUAUUCAUUAGUUUAUCCACUCAACAUUGAUUUAUUAUUCCUGACUGCAGCCAACAACAUUGUGAAUACUUUCCCUGCCUCAAGCUCUGUUCUAGGUCCUAGAACAUUCAUGACAAUUUGUUUCUCUGCCCUCUGGCAGGUGAGAAAACUUUGUAAGAAGUUUCAAUAGCAAAAAGUAUGAGAAGAUGUACAAUAGAUCUGGGACUAUUUGUAACAAACCCGGUGGAAGAUGUAGGAGCAGAGGUGGAAGGCCUUAAAGAGGGUCCUGCGCAUGCCGGGCGGGCCUCCAACAGAGAAAACACACAACCUGGCCAGGCACAGUGGCUCACGCCUGUAAUCCCAGCACUUUGGGAGGCCAGUGCGGGUGGAUCACCUGAGGUCAGGAGUUCGAGAUCAGCCUGGCCAAUGUAGUGAAACCCCAGUCUCUACCAAAAAUACAAAAAUUAGCCGGGCUUGGCACAGGCUUGCAAUCCCAGCUGAGGCAGGAGAAUCGCUUGAACCUGGGAGGUGGAGGUUGCAAUGAGCCAAGAUCAUGCUUUUGCACUCCAGCCUGGACGACAGAGUGAGACUCUGUCUCAAAACAAAAUAAAUAAAAUAGACACGCAAUCCAUACCACAGCCACCAGGGUGAUUGUCCAGGUUGUAUUUCUGCUGACAUCGACCCUUCAUGCCUUCCUCUUGUUGACCCUUCCAGCUACACCUAGCUCGGUCCUCUUCGGAGCCACGCCAACACCCAGGUUCCUCUGCAGUGCAUCCCCAUGGGGAU